CGGACGGGUGAGUAAUGUCUGGGAAACUGCCCGAUGGAGGGGGAUAACUACUGGAAACGGUAGCUAAUACCGCAUAACGUCGCAAGACCAAAGAGGGGGACCUUAGGGCCUCUUGCCAUCGGAUGUGCCCAGAUGGGAUUGGCUAGUAGGUGGGGUAAUGGCUCACCUAGGCGACGAUCCCUAGCUGGUCUGAGAGGAUGACCAGCCACACUGGAACUGAGACACGGUCCAG
This 232-nucleotide ribosomal RNA is filed under the name uncultured bacterium. RNAcentral's name for it is "partial 16S ribosomal RNA". It matches the Rfam family "Bacterial small subunit ribosomal RNA", at positions 99 to 334 of the family's 1533-position model. The record is from RNAcentral.